GCCAGCAGCGGUCUGGGCGAGGCAGCGUCGAUGGCCUCGAUGAGCGGCAAGAGUUCGAAACGCAUCUGCCGGCG
This 74-nucleotide transfer RNA is filed under the name Mesorhizobium sp. 131-3-5. Its description in RNAcentral is "tRNA-Ala". Lineage: Bacteria; Pseudomonadati; Pseudomonadota; Alphaproteobacteria; Hyphomicrobiales; Phyllobacteriaceae. The record is from RNAcentral.